Molecule: ribosomal RNA, 1371 nt
Filed under: Vibrio parahaemolyticus
Lineage: Bacteria; Pseudomonadati; Pseudomonadota; Gammaproteobacteria; Vibrionales; Vibrionaceae
Description: bacterial SSU rRNA
Rfam family: Bacterial small subunit ribosomal RNA
Source: RNAcentral
UCUGAACCUUCGGGGAACGAUAACGGCGUCGAGCGGCGGACGGGUGAGUAAUGCCUAGGAAAUUGCCCUGAUGUGGGGGAUAACCAUUGGAAACGAUGGCUAAUACCGCAUGAUGCCUACGGGCCAAAGAGGGGGACCUUCGGGCCUCUCGCGUCAGGAUAUGCCUAGGUGGGAUUAGCUAGUUGGUGAGGUAAGGGCUCACCAAGGCGACGAUCCCUAGCUGGUCUGAGAGGAUGAUCAGCCACACUGGAACUGAGACACGGUCCAGACUCCUACGGGAGGCAGCAGUGGGGAAUAUUGCACAAUGGGCGCAAGCCUGAUGCAGCCAUGCCGCGUGUGUGAAGAAGGCCUUCGGGUUGUAAAGCACUUUCAGUCGUGAGGAAGGUAGUGUAGUUAAUAGCUGCAUUAUUUGACGUUAGCGACAGAAGAAGCACCGGCUAACUCCGUGCCAGCAGCCGCGGUAAUACGGAGGGUGCGAGCGUUAAUCGGAAUUACUGGGCGUAAAGCGCAUGCAGGUGGUUUGUUAAGUCAGAUGUGAAAGCCCGGGGCUCAACCUCGGAAUUGCAUUUGAAACUGGCAGACUAGAGUACUGUAGAGGGGGGUAGAAUUUCAGGUGUAGCGGUGAAAUGCGUAGAGAUCUGAAGGAAUACCGGUGGCGAAGGCGGCCCCCUGGACAGAUACUGACACUCAGAUGCGAAAGCGUGGGGAGCAAACAGGAUUAGAUACCCUGGUAGUCCACGCCGUAAACGAUGUCUACUUGGAGGUUGUGGCCUUGAGCCGUGGCUUUCGGAGCUAACGCGUUAAGUAGACCGCCUGGGGAGUACGGUCGCAAGAUUAAAACUCAAAUGAAUUGACGGGGGCCCGCACAAGCGGUGGAGCAUGUGGUUUAAUUCGAUGCAACGCGAAGAACCUUACCUACUCUUGACAUCCAGAGAACUUUCCAGAGAUGGAUUGGUGCCUUCGGGAACUCUGAGACAGGUGCUGCAUGGCUGUCGUCAGCUCGUGUUGUGAAAUGUUGGGUUAAGUCCCGCAACGAGCGCAACCCUUAUCCUUGUUUGCCAGCGAGUAAUGUCGGGAACUCCAGGGAGACUGCCGGUGAUAAACCGGAGGAAGGUGGGGACGACGUCAAGUCAUCAUGGCCCUUACGAGUAGGGCUACACACGUGCUACAAUGGCGCAUACAGAGGGCAGCCAACUUGCGAAAGUGAGCGAAUCCCAAAAAGUGCGUCGUAGUCCGGAUUGGAGUCUGCAACUCGACUCCAUGAAGUCGGAAUCGCUAGUAAUCGUGGAUCAGAAUGCCACGGUGAAUACGUUCCCGGGCCUUGUACACACCGCCCGUCACACCAUGGGAGUGGGCUGCAAAAGAAGUAGG